RNAcentral lists this ribosomal RNA (229 nucleotides) under uncultured bacterium. RNAcentral describes it as "partial 16S ribosomal RNA". It matches the Rfam family "Bacterial small subunit ribosomal RNA", at positions 568 to 796 of the family's 1533-position model. The record is from RNAcentral.
UGUGUAGGCGUCUUAGCAAGUCGAACGUGAAAUCCCACAGCUCAACUGUGGAACUGCAUUCGAUACUGCUGAGAUUGAGUACGGAAGGGGAGAAUGGAAUUCCCGGUGUAAGAGUGAAAUCUGUAGAUAUCGGGAGGAACACCAGUGGCGAAGGCGAUUCUCUGGUCCGAUACUGACGCUGAGACACGAAAGCUAGGGGAGCGAACAGGAUUAGAUACCCUGGUAGUCC